Molecule: non-coding RNA, 8026 nt
Organism: Taeniopygia guttata (zebra finch)
Lineage: Eukaryota; Metazoa; Chordata; Aves; Passeriformes; Estrildidae
Source: RefSeq, a predicted model, not a curated record
GCGGCGCUGAGGCCCCGCGGCGGCGGCGGCGCUGCCGUGUUGACAGCGGCGGCCGCGCCGGGAGCUGCCCCGGGAAGCGGGUUGGCGGCGCCGGUUCUCCGCUCCCAUCUCAGCUAUGGCCUUCAUGGAGAAGCCGCCGGCCGGCAAGGUGCUGCUGGACGAUACGGUGCCGCUGACAGCGCAGAUCGAGGCGAGCCAGAGCCUGCACUCGCACACGGAGUACAUAAUCCGUGUCCAGAGAGGAGUUUCAACAGAAAACAGUUGGCAGAUUGUGAGGCGAUAUAGUGACUUUGACUUGUUGAAUAACAGCCUGCAGAUCUCAACUCUAAGUCUACCUCUUCCUCCAAAAAAGUUGAUUGGAAAUAUGGAGCGGGAAUUCAUUGCUGAAAGACAGAAGGGACUCCAGGCCUACCUGGAUGUGAUUACUGCCCAUCACAUACUGUCUAACUGUGAACUGGUAAAGAAAUUCUUGGACCCAAACAGCUAUUCUGUAAAUUAUACUGAAAUUGCCUUACAGCAUGUUUCAAUGUUCUUCCGAUCAGAGCCAAAGUGGGAAGUAGUUGAACCGUUAAAAGAUAUAGGUUGGCGAAUACGUAAGAAAUAUUUCUUAAUGAAAAUUAAGAAUCAACCAAAGGAACGGCUAGUGUUAAGCUGGGCUGAUCUUGGCCCUGAUAAAUACUUGUCUGACAGAGACUUACAGUAUGCUGUGAAACUUCUUUCUUCCUGUUCUCAUCCCUAUAUUUACAAAAUCACUUUUGCCAUUGCCAACGAAUCUUCAGCACUGGUUAUAAGACCAUUCAGUGAAAAAGGGACACUAAAGGACCUUAUUUAUAAGGCAAAGCCAAAAGACCCAUUCCUGAAGAAGUAUUGCAAUCCUAAAAAAAUUCAAGGUCUUGAACUUCAGCAAAUAAAAACAUAUGGAAGGCAAAUAUUAGAGGUAUUAAAAUUCCUCCAUGAGAAAGGAUUUCCUUAUGGCCAUCUUCACUCUGCCAAUGUGAUGCUGGAUGGGGAUACCUGCAAGUUACUGGAUCUAGAAAAUUCCUUGUUGGGACUUCCAUCAUUUUAUCGAUCGUACUUUUCACAGUUUCGGAAAAUUAAUACUUUAGAGGGUGUUGAUGUUCAUUGCUUUGGACACUUGCUGUAUGAAAUGACGUAUGGAAGACCUCCAGACACGAUUCCAGUGGAGAGCUUCCCCCCUGCUCCAUCAGUGUUUGUUGUGUCAGUGUUGGAGUCCAUUCUGACUUGUGAAGCUCUGAAGAAUGGGAUGCCAACUGUCUCACGGCUCUUACAGAUGCCAUUAUUCAGCGACGUCCUGCUAACAAACUCUGAGAAACCACAGUUUAAGAUUCCUACUAAGCUAAAAGAGGCAUUGAAAAUCUCCAAGGAAUGCAUAGAAAAGCGAUUAACAGAAGAACAGAAAUUGAUUCACCAGCACAGAAGGUUGACAAGAGCUCAAUCUCAUCAUGGCUCUGAAGAAGAAAAAAAGAAAAGGAAGAUCUUGGCACGAAAAAAGUCAAAGCGCUCUGCCAAUGAAAGUGGGGAAGAACACUCAGCCAAAUACAGCAACUCAAAUAACUCAGCAGGCUCUGGGGCGAGUUCCCCUUUAACAUCUCCAUCAUCCCCCACUCCACCCUCCACAGCAGGUAUGUUCAAGAAUCAUUACAGUUUUUAUCUUUUUUAUGUUGUUUUUUUAUCCCCUCUGCCCCUCAGCGGAGGUGUUAUUAAUCCCAGGAUGAUCAAGAGAUGAUGUUUUUCAAGGAUGGAGCACCGAGAUGUCAGUUACCUUGUGGCAGCCUGAGUGUGGGCAUGUGCUAUUUUCUGAGGUCACAGAGAACCUAUUUUAUAACUAUAACCUUUCUGAGAUACACAUGGCAUGAUUUACCCAGGGUGUACCUGCUUGCUUCAAAGUCUGUAUUACUCCAGGCCUACCCACAUUGCAACUUUCUAGGCAUUUUUUUUGGGCCUCAUGUUGCAGUAUACAUUUGUUUUGGUGUUAAUGGUCUGUUGACUCUGAAAUACUGCUUGUUCAUCCCUUGUUUCUUCGUUCUUUUUAUUCCUGUACUGCUGUGAUUUAUUUUCAGGAAUUUUAGGUGUGACAAAUUUGGUGGCUUAAGCUUCAUAAAUCUCCCCAGUUCUGCUACACACCAUUGAUAACCCAGUAGAGUUUGUAGAAAAAAAAUCUAGAAACAAGACAGAUUUGGGUAAAAAUAGUAUCUUUAUUAUUUUUGGCCAGUUAUGUUUUUCAGUUUACUGGGUGGCUGUGCAGAGAGUUUUGCUAAUGUUUAAGACAGGGGUGGGAAGUGGUGAAGAAUUUGAUUGAGUGGGCAAUAGAAAUACUCUGAAAGUUUAAUUACAAAUCUGAAUAUUGAGGAGUAGUGGAUAUGCUUCAGUCUAAAAGACUGGUAGAGGAACACUGGCCAAUAUUAAUAGUAAAAGAUAUUAACAGAAUACAUUUCUAGAGGGGAAGCAGCCCAUGGCAUUGCCAUUUUUAAUGGUGACUCUUGCCGUAGGAUUUCUAGUCCCAGGAACUUUCUCCAUAGCACAAGUCAUUAACCAAAGCAAUGAAAUCAAAUUUGUCUUUGCUGUGCAUAGUUUUUCAAAGGACACUGCAGUCUGUGUGAUGUAAUUCAAAUCAGUCAUGCUGAAAUUCAAAUUAGUAAUUUCUCCUUCAAGUUGAGGGCAUGAGAAGUGUGUAUUGUAGGGACUAACCCAGUUAACCUAAGCAAGAUAAUGACUGUUACUGUGCUAUUCUCUGGAUGCACUGACUGUGAUCUAGAGAAUUUGUUGCCAGUCCUGCCAGGGCUUCCAUAAGGAUGUAGCUGAAACGUGGCUCCAAAAUGGACAGAUGUAUAGAAAGCAUUUUUUCCCCUAUAAAACUACUGCUUAGUUAUGUUCUGACUUGGACUUGUUGGAACUUGGUUGAAAGCUUUUUCAAGUUUUAAGCAUGAGAUGCAGGUUUAUGUGCAGAUGUGGAUCAAAAUAGCUCAGGUUGGUGCUCAAAGCUCGUCUCAGUCCAAACCAUAUUGUCACAGUGUGUCUGUUGGCCAUCUUGUGGCAGUGUGCUCCUGAUGACUUGUGGGGAUCAGCCCUGUCUGACAUGGUGCUUGUACCCAUCCUCACACUGGAGGUGCCUUAGUGAGCCAGUGGCUUGGAUGCUGUUUAUGAGGUGUAAAGCCAAGUGUCACAUGUUCAGGAAUGCUUUUGUGAGUAGAAUUUGUAGAAGAAAUUUCAGAUAUUAAUUCUGAGAGAAAACUAGAUUUUUUUUUUUCACCAGCGGUGUUGUAGUUUUAGCUGUUCUAAGCAAGUCUGCUUUUACUGCCUUGAGGAAAGACACACUGGUCCCAUGGUAGGACCUUGUUUGUGACAAGUGAUGCAUCUGUAGCUUGCAUUUCUCUCUUCUAAUUUCCUUGUACUUACUAAGGAUAUUUACCUCUGUACCAAAAUUGCUCGUGGGUGUCAGUGUGGUGAGAUGAUUCUAAAAAAGGCAUUGAGGCUUUCAGUCUGUCUAGUUUGGUAUGGCUGUGUUAGAAGUGGGGCCUCUCAGAGCAUCCUGCUGAUACAAUACCACAGCAGAACUAAGGCUGGUGGGGAAAAGUGCCCCCAAGAGAAGCGUCUGCUCUCAUCCUGGCCUGUAACUGGUCAUACAUAGUGUGGGUGUGUGCAGAGAGAGAGACACUGACCAAAAUGGGAACGGGCUCCAGGCUGACAUGCCUGGGGAAGGAACCUCAUGCAGGGGGUUUCUUACAUGUUGAGAGGUUCUUUGUCCCUGAACAAAAGCCCUGCGAGGCUUGGCUUGCAGCAGAGUGCUUGGGAGAAUUGAUGGAAAACAGACUGAGGAAUAAAACGAUGGUUGGCUUCUGCUGUCUUAUGGCAGCUGCAGCUGUAGGACUGAGAGCACGGCCUGCUCUGAGGGGAAGGGUGCCUCUGGAGAUGUAGGCUCUUAUGGGCUGUUCUCACUGCUGAGAACCUUUUGGGCUGGUGGUGUUGCAGGUACUUGGCUAAAUAACAUAUUUGAAAUACAUUGUUAGAUCAUGCAAGUGACUCUAAUGUAACAUCCCGUGUUUCUAACAUUCUCCCGGUGUGGUUCUUUUUUUCCUCCACAAUUCUUUGCUUCUGCUGGGAAAAUCCAUUCAUUUUCUUUGUGGCUGUGAGCAGUGGCUAGGAUCAGAAGGGGUGCAGAACAGUGUGGUAUGGGUUAUUUAACAUUUCACUGAAUAUUUUCUUAAUCAGAUAAGCCUGUAAGAUGCAGCAAGAUCUUUCAACAGAGAACAAUUUGGAGAGUGUCACUUUUGCUUCUCUGGACUUCCCUGUAGGAAUAGUUAAAGAAUUGAACUUAACAAUCUUUUUCUGUGCCAGUUGUUCUGAAUCCUUCAGUAUGACAUAUGUUUCAUUGGCAGCCAUAUGGUGCAUGUUUCCUGCCCCUCACCUUCCUGUAAAACAGUUGGAAUGCUUUAGGAAGUGCUUUUCCUGAGUGUCUCUGACCACAAGUGUGAAUACAGGUGUUAAUACAGCAGGAAGUGUUUCUUGAACUGAAUGGAUUUCGUCUUCUGUGGCUAAUCUUUCUGCAGAUUUCUUUCUAAAUCUCUCAAAAUGCACUUUAAUCCUGUAGAGCUUGAAUUAUGGCAUGUGCAACCGAAAGCAUGUAUGUUGUAUUUGUUGAUCAAGUAUAAUAAUGUUUAGAGCAUGGAAAAUUGUGGUUCACUUUUCAGAAUUGAAUGAAGUAUUUUAAAUGUAAUAUGAAAUAGUCAACUUACUGUCCUCAUAUUUGUCAGUGAGUAAGAAUGUAUUGACUUCUGUACUAACUUUUCAGCUAACAGUAUGUUUUUCUUACUUUGACACGAGAACUGGAUGAUUAACUUGUGUCCUCUCUUUUUCUCUGCUGUCUUCAAUAGAGCAUGCAUCAUUUUGAACGUGAAUUUUCAGAAAAGCAUCAAGUUUACAGCAUCUGAUUUACUUCCUAUUCCUUUUAACACACUCUUUUAACAAAAAUGUCCCUGUAAAAACCCUUGGUAAGUUCUUGUUUGAGUGUUUUAUUCUUAAAACUGCAUGAAUGAAUAAAAUGUGUGUUUGCAGGCAAUGUCCCUCAACAUAUGUAUUGGAAGGGCCUAGUAAUAGCUAAGUAUUUGUCUCAAAUGGUUUUUCUAGCAAAUAGAGGAAAAUAUUUCAUUGUAGGGCAGAACAAUUUCAUCUGUAGAUGUAAAUGUAUAUGAAUGCAUGUGUGUGAACUAAGAUUUCUUUUGCACCACUCGUGUCAAGAAGGGAAGGACAGCUUGGUGUUGAUGACCUAACUGAAGUGAAUGGAUUUGAAGAUUUUUGAAUCAUGCUCUUAAUUAACAGGUUCAGUAUGUAAUGCCCAUAACUAGUGAGAUGUCAUUCUGAACCCUGCAUGUAUUUAUGUCUUACAGCAGAGCUCAAGUGUAAGGGUGUAAUUCUCUGUUAUCAGUUUCGCAAGAGUUUAACUACAUGAUAGUGUAAACAGCUCAAUUUCAAUAAUAGCGAGUCCUGAGGAAUGUUACAAUUUCCAGGAAGAAAGGUGAUCUCUGCCCCUACUUUCCUGUCUUUUCUACUCCUGUAAAAUAACCAGGCCAAAAGUUGAAGAUAAGACAUGGAAUCUUGGCUACUAAUACCUUGGGAUCCAAGCAUUUUGUGUCUGUUUUCCCCUGUGUGUGUCAAACAUGUGCCCUCUUUCACCACGUUACCACUGUAUUUGUAUUCCCUGGCCACUGCUUUCAUGGUCAUUCCCUAUUGCACCUUGUGCAACUACUUGCAUAGUCUCUUUCACCUUGCAUUCCAGACAAAAAUCUUGUCUUUGUUUCUGCAGUUCUUGCAUCUCUUUGAUGCCAUUUCUUUUGUGUUUCGCUGCUCUUGGUGCUUUCAGAGCAGUUUACCUGAUCUGUUUGGAGGUAAGCUGGUGCAGGGUCCUGCCCUGACCACUUCAACCACUAAAUGGGUACUUGGACUGUUCUUGGUCUUGUUCUUCCUUUGGCCAAGUUUUUCUCUCCUGGCCUCCUUCCACAAGAGAAACAGGGCUCUAAUGCUGGGAUUGUUUUGUCAGCAUUUCUAACCGUAAAUUGAUGUACGUCUUUGGCAAGUGUAAAAAGCAGAUUUGUCUAAGUUAGAAGGCCCCACUAUGCAAUUUAUUUCAGUUUGUGCUGCCAUUGUGUAAAGUCUUGGUUACUUCAGAAAGCAGUUGAUCUACAUGCAACAGGCAGAUUAAACUGUUUCAGUUGAUCUCUGGUAUUUCUAUUAGAACUUGAGUAUUUCCUCUGGAAAGAAAGAGAGUGAAGAUGAGCUCAGUGUGUACUUCAAAGCUUUGUUUUCACAGAAGGCUUUCAUGCCAAUGAGAAUUUCUCCUGAAGAGCUGGAAGAGCUACAGUCACAGCACAUAUAAAUGUAUACUGGCAAAAUUGAAUGCUUUAUGUGAAUACUCUGCAUUUUGAGCUUGCUCUCAUAUGGGAAAAGUCUUUCUUCAAAGACUGGUAUGGAUAGAAAAUGAGAGUUUUGAAUUAUGUCUUUUAUCUAGUAUAACUGCUUGUUUUAAUAACACCAGUUCUGUUUUUACUGUUGUUAGCCUAAAAACAAUUGUUGAUAAGGAAUUGAGAGACAAAUGGAGCAUGGAGAACUUUUAUCUGCUUUUUUUCUGUAGCUGAGCUUUAUCCUUCAUCAAAUCUCUUUUGAGUCAGUGGCAUAAUGUUAGAUAAUUACUUGAAUUUGCUCACUUCUACCAAGCAGUUCUACUUCAGGAACAACAGUCUCUUGGUUGCCUUAAUGUUGUUUUACCUUGCCCAGUAUCACAGUUCUUGCUACUUACCAGUAUAUUCCUCUUUGUAGGUCAGAGCUACUGGAAGCAAGUGUUAAUAGGUGUCAUUUGUCUCUUCAGUCUUCCUAUGGCAUAACUCAUGCUCUAGUUCAGAUUCGCUGCUGAGUAGUACCAGGAUAUUAAUAAUUAUGGUCCUACUCCUUCCAAAAUAUGAAACAAGAUAGGCCCAUUAUUAUUUGACUUGAGUAGCAGAGCUGCACAAGAUCAGGGUGCUUGGGAGAGUGCCUGGGGUAAAAGAGGGAAGCCACUUGCCUGGAUGGGAACUGCCAGGAAACAGCUCCAUGCAGGCCCUCACUGCUGGACCAGCUGCAUGUUCCACUGUGGGCUCUGGCUUCCCAGGGAGUCAGGGUGUGGAGGCUGAGGUUGCAUGUGAAGCAGAAAGUGGAUGUGGCUGGCACAGAGAGCAAGGGACAGAGUACAAAGGUGGCUGGUGGGAACAGGAGAGGCAGGCUGGAGGUGUGUGUGACAGUGUUGUGAUUCAUUUAGUCUGUCAAAGCAACCAUGUGUUACAACAUAUUUGGAGAAAGUCAACCAGAACUUUGGAAGUGUAGAACACUUUCAGAAAACUCUAUCUGCAGUUACGACUGUAGAACUGAAGUAUAAUCUGGCCAAGCGAAAUGGUCAUCACAGAUACUACAGUGAUGUGGUUCUUCAUUCAUAGGAAUGUCAAGUGAGUUAUGUAAGUAAGAACAGGUAGUAAAAUUUGCUUCCAGUCUUCGUUACUGUUCAUAUCCCAAAGAACAAACUGCCUCACUAGGGACAAAAAGGAGAAGCUGAAUCUGGGAAGUCCCGUUCAGCAAUCUCUGUUUUCCUUGGUGCAUGAUCACACAUGAGUCAUGUUUUGCAUCUGAGUCCUGAGGCCCUUCAGGCUUCAUUUCAGAGGCAUCUCAGAUGACAUGACUCACCUGCAGAUAGAGGGAUUUGAUCACUUCGGCAUUUUCCAUCUGUUCUGUUCUUCACACUCCACUGGCAUUCAGGGGAUGAUGGGACUAAUCCAGCCAAGCAGCCGCAGGCCUCUGGGGCAGGACAUCCCUGGCAUAAUCAAACUCCCCCUUCUCUCCCCACCUUCUCAGGAGCAUCGUCCAUCCCCCCAGCGCCGCCCCCGCCGCCCCCGCCGCCAGCAGCUCCUCCCCCGAGCACAGAGGUGCCCGCGGCGCGGCCCGAGCUCAGCGCAGGCCGGGGAGCCUUGCUCAGCUCCAUUCAAAA